UAUUGUAUAGUGUAUAAAUAACACAGUAAAUUGCAAAUUUAAAAAAGUCUCUACUACAAUAA
Molecule: transfer RNA, 62 nt
Filed under: Grandidierella japonica
Lineage: Eukaryota; Metazoa; Arthropoda; Malacostraca; Amphipoda; Corophiidae
Description: tRNA-Cys
Source: RNAcentral